AUGGCUGGCGGGAAGGAGGCGGGCGCGCACCGAAUGGGGACGGCCACGGGGGCAGCUGUGGACGCGGCGUUUGACGGAGGAGAGAGUUCUUCCCUGCCUGCCUUGGGCUCUCCCGUUUUUUCCAGGGUGGCUGUGGUCGGUGCCUGCAAGGUGCGGCGAGGGCCGCCAGGGAGCAGGAACAGCCCCCCGCCCCGGGCCCGACCCCUGGCGUGCAGAGCCAGGCGGGUGACGGACAGCGCUGGGGGCCCUCGCAGGCGCUCAGGGACCCAGCAGGUCCCAGCUCUUGAGGCCCGGGCAGCUCCGGCCUCUCUGCGGACCGCAGCCGCGUCCGGGACGCCCGGGAGCGCAGCAGCGGUGGCCUUGAUGUGCGGGGCGCCCUCGGCUCGGGAGCCCAGCCCGCAAUCCCUGAGCGCCCGCCGCGGGCCGCUGGGUCGGCAUCCCUGGACGAGCCGUGGCUAUGCGGGUCCCGGUGGGUGUGGCAAGUGCCCUUGCACCCUGCGGCUCUCCCCACACACCCACGGCCCAGCCUCACCGGGAGAAGGACACCGGGCAGAGCCCGGCAGGGGCUGCCUCCCCGCCAGCCAUGUAGGCCCCUGGGACCAGGCGGGGCUGAGCCCAGGGAGAAGGGACGCCUAGGGGAGGGGCUAUUGUCACAUGAGGUCCUGGGUGGGUCCUGGGACAGGAAUCUGGGUUGUCAAGUGAGAUUUGUGUGUUGUGACACACGUGAUCUCCUACACAGGGGCUGAUGGCAGGGCUGAGGGUGGGUUUAUCCUCUCAUAUCUGCAGCCAUCCAUCACUCUGAAACAAUGUAAACCGAGCGUGUGGUCAAAGCGAUCUCACACACAAGUGCGUGGCUGCGCGCAUCCUGGCCCAGGGUGCUGCGUGGCCUCUCCCCCGCCCAGGUCUGUGUUCCAAGGGGUGCCCCACAGCCUUCUGCAGGCCAGUGGGGUCCAGCUGCCCGCCCACACCUGCCCCUGCUUCUGCAGACGCCCUCGUCAGCAGCCCCGUGCUCCCCCACUGUCCUUCCUGGCUCCCGCCGUGCCAGCACCUGCCUGCCCCGCCCCACGCUCUGCUCCACUGGCGAGCAGACAGCGCCCCGCCACCAUCCAGGUGCACUCGGGGCAGCGGUGCUGGUCUGCCCGCCCGCCCUUGGGCCUGCGUCCCCCGCAGCAGCUUGUCUGACUGUCCCUCUCACCUGCACCCAGCCAGGCCCGUGGCUCCCCUCGUCCUGAGCGCAUCCCUGCUGCCCGCACCCUCUCCCACCUGGCUCUGCAGUCGCUCACUGGGAGCCUUGCUGGGCCUGAAGUGUGGCCCCCGCAGUCCCCUUCUGCCACUUGGGUGCCCCCGGCCUCUUCCCACUGUUUGUGGCACCACCGCGGCGCUGAGUGUGAGCCUGGGUUCAUGGUGGUGGGCGGCUCAUGCAUGAUGCCCACCUGCCCCGCCACACUGGAGGAGCAGGAGGUGCGUGCAUGCAGGCAUUAGAUGACCAGAGCCUUCAGGAUGGCCACUGGGGGUGGCCUGCAUCCCUCACCAUCUUCUGAUCUUUCCCAGUGACGCAGCCUACCCGAUGCCUGUCCUGACACCAUGGGGCCCCAGCAGGUUCUGGGUCAGGAUGCCCAGGUGCCCAGCCCCAUGG
This 1636-nucleotide long non-coding RNA is filed under the name Oryctolagus cuniculus (rabbit). RNAcentral's name for it is "lncRNA (ENSOCUG00000032287.1)". Lineage: Eukaryota; Metazoa; Chordata; Mammalia; Lagomorpha; Leporidae. The record is from RNAcentral.